This 1362-nucleotide ribosomal RNA is filed under the name uncultured bacterium. RNAcentral describes it as "bacterial SSU rRNA". It matches the Rfam family "Bacterial small subunit ribosomal RNA", at positions 28 to 1381 of the family's 1533-position model. The record is from RNAcentral.
GAUGAACGCUAGCGGGAGGCCUAACACAUGCAAGCCGAGCGGGAUUUGUUGGUUAGCUUGCUAACUGAUAAUGAGAGCGGCGUACGGGUGCGGAACAUGUGUGCAAUCUGCCCUUAUCAAGGGGAUAGCCCAGAGAAAUCUGGAUUAAUACCCUAUAACAUAUGGGAUGGCAUCAUUUCAUAUUAAAAGCUACGGCGGAUAAGGAUGAGCACGCACAAGAUUAGCUAGUUGGUAAGGUAACGGCUUACCAAGGCGACGAUCUUUAGGGGGCCUGAGAGGGUGAUCCCCCACACUGGGACUGAGACACGGCCCAGACUCCUACGGGAGGCAGCAGUGAGGAAUAUUGGACAAUGGGUGGAAGCCUGAUCCAGCCAUCCCGCGUGCAGGACGACUGCCCUAUGGGUUGUAAACUGCUUUUAUAUAGGGAUAAACCUACUCUCGUGAGAGUAGCUGAAGGUACUAUAUGAAUAAGCACCGGCUAACUCCGUGCCAGCAGCCGCGGUAGUACGGAGGGUGCAAGCGUUAUCCGGAUUUAUUGGGUUUAAAGGGUCCGUAGGUGGGCUGAUAAGUCAGCGGUGAAAUCCUGCAGCUUAACUGUAGAACUGCCGUUGAUACUGUUAGUCUUGAGUGUAUUUGAAGUGGCUGGAAUAAGUAGUGUAGCGGUGAAAUGCAUAGAUAUUACUUAGAACACCAAUUGCGAAGGCAGGUCACUAAGAUACAACUGACGCUGAGGCUCGAAAGCGUGGGGAGCAAACAGGAUUAGAUACCCUGGUAGUCCACGCCGUAAACGAUGAGUGCUAGGUGUUAGACCCUUUCCGGGGUUUAGUGCCGUAGCUAACGCAUUAAGCACUCCGCCUGGGGAGUACGACCGCAAGGUUGAAACUCAAAGGAAUUGACGGGGGCCCGCACAAACGGUGGAGCAUGUGGUUUAAUUCGAAGCAACGCGAAGAACCUUACCAGGUCUUGACAUCCCUCUGACCGCUCUAGAGAUAGAGUUUUCCUUCGGGACAGAGGUGACAGGUGGUGCAUGGUUGUCGUCAGCUCGUGUCGUGAGAUGUUGGGUUAAGUCCCGCAACGAGCGCAACCCCUAUUGUUAGUUGCCAUCAUUGAGUUGGGCACUCUAGCGAGACUGCCGGUAAUAAACCGGAGGAAGGUGGGGAUGACGUCAAAUCAUCAUGCCCCUUAUGACCUGGGCUACACACGUGCUACAAUGGCUGGUACAACGAGUCGCAAGCCGGUGACGGCAAGCUAAUCUCUGAAAGCCAGUCUCAGUUCGGAUUGUAGGCUGCAACUCGCCUACAUGAAGUCGGAAUCGCUAGUAAUCGCGGAUCAGCACGCCGCGGUGAAUACGUUCCCGGGCCU